RNAcentral lists this transfer-messenger RNA (388 nucleotides) under Acidimicrobiales. RNAcentral describes it as "UBA11606 sp002694825 Standard tmRNA". It matches the Rfam family "transfer-messenger RNA". Rfam says of the family: Bacterial tmRNA, also known as 10Sa RNA or SsrA, is named for its dual tRNA and mRNA-like properties. RNAcentral also lists the same sequence under 2 other names. The record is from RNAcentral. Lineage: Bacteria; Bacillati; Actinomycetota; Acidimicrobiia.
GGGGCUGAUCGGUUUCGACGUUGGGACCAGGAUGCGGCGGCGUGCGACCGGAGUUGCUCAGACUCCAAAAACGGGGCACCCAAAGAGACGCCGAUACGGACGAUCUCACUCUCGCUGCCUGAUCUGAUCAGGGAACAGAGAGUCAUUGUGGCGCAGCAAUGUGUCACGGGGCCUGAUCACUGCAGCCUGUCACCAGAAGCAGUGGUGGACGGUGGGAGAGACCACUGACCGCAGGGAACAGACCGCUGACCUCGAGGAAAGACUCGGCGGCUGAGCUUGCUCAAUCGACCCGGCGAACCCACAGCCGCAAGUGGGACUCACGGGAAUGGUCGUAACGCGUCACGUGACCACCUGACGGACGAGGGUUCGAUUCCCUCCAGCUCCACUC